This 1502-nucleotide ribosomal RNA is filed under the name Mycobacterium sp. RNAcentral describes it as "bacterial SSU rRNA". It matches the Rfam family "Bacterial small subunit ribosomal RNA". The record is from RNAcentral. Lineage: Bacteria; Bacillati; Actinomycetota; Actinomycetes; Mycobacteriales; Mycobacteriaceae.
GACGAACGCUGGCGGCGUGCUUAACACAUGCAAGUCGAACGGUAAGGCCCUUCGGGGUACACGAGUGGCGAACGGGUGAGUAACACGUGGGUAAUCUGCCCUGCACUUUGGGAUAAGCCUGGGAAACUGGGUCUAAUACCGAAUAGGACCACGGGAGGCAUGUCCUGUGGUGGAAAGCUUUUGCGGUGUGGGAUGGGCCCGCGGCCUAUCAGCUUGUUGGUGGGGUGAUGGCCUACCAAGGCGACGACGGGUAGCCGGCCUGAGAGGGUGUCCGGCCACACUGGGACUGAGAUACGGCCCAGACUCCUACGGGAGGCAGCAGUGGGGAAUAUUGCACAAUGGGCGCAAGCCUGAUGCAGCGACGCCGCGUGGGGGAUGACGGCCUUCGGGUUGUAAACCUCUUUCACCAUUGACGAAGGUCCGGGUCUUCUCGGAUUGACGGUAGGUGGAGAAGAAGCACCGGCCAACUACGUGCCAGCAGCCGCGGUAAUACGUAGGGUGCGAGCGUUGUCCGGAAUUACUGGGCGUAAAGAGCUCGUAGGUGGUUUGUCGCGUUGUUCGUGAAAUCUCACGGCUUAACUGUGAGCGUGCGGGCGAUACGGGCAGACUGGAGUACUGCAGGGGAGACUGGAAUUCCUGGUGUAGCGGUGGAAUGCGCAGAUAUCAGGAGGAACACCGGUGGCGAAGGCGGGUCUCUGGGCAGUAACUGACGCUGAGGAGCGAAAGCGUGGGGAGCGAACAGGAUUAGAUACCCUGGUAGUCCACGCCGUAAACGGUGGGUACUAGGUGUGGGUUUCCUUCCUUGGGAUCCGUGCCGUAGCUAACGCAUUAAGUACCCCGCCUGGGGAGUACGGCCGCAAGGCUAAAACUCAAAGAAAUUGACGGGGGCCCGCACAAGCGGCGGAGCAUGUGGAUUAAUUCGAUGCAACGCGAAGAACCUUACCUGGGUUUGACAUGCACAGGACGCCGGCAGAGAUGUCGGUUCCCUUGUGGCCUGUGUGCAGGUGGUGCAUGGCUGUCGUCAGCUCGUGUCGUGAGAUGUUGGGUUAAGUCCCGCAACGAGCGCAACCCUUGUCUCAUGUUGCCAGCGGGUAAUGCCGGGGACUCGUGAGAGACUGCCGGGGUCAACUCGGAGGAAGGUGGGGAUGACGUCAAGUCAUCAUGCCCCUUAUGUCCAGGGCUUCACACAUGCUACAAUGGCCGGUACAAAGGGCUGCGAUGCCGCGAGGCUUAGCGAAUCCUUUUAAAGCCGGUCUCAGUUCGGAUCGGGGUCUGCAACUCGACCCCGUGAAGUCGGAGUCGCUAGUAAUCGCAGAUCAGCAACGCUGCGGUGAAUACGUUCCCGGGCCUUGUACACACCGCCCGUCACGUCAUGAAAGUCGGUAACACCCGAAGCCAGUGGCCUAACCCUUUGGGAGGGAGCUGUCGAAGGUGGGAUCGGCGAUUGGGACGAAGUCGUAACAAGGUAGCCGUACCGGAAGGUGCGGCUGGAUCACCUCCUU